GAUGAAGAACGUAGCGAAAUGCGAUAAGUAAUGUGAAUUGCAGAAUUCCGUGAAUCAUCGAAUCUUUGAACGCACAUUGCGCCCCCUGGUAUUCCGGGGGGCAUGCCUGUUCGAGCGUCAUUUCACCACUCAAGCCUCGCUUGGUAUUGGGCAACGCGGUCCGCCGCGUGCCUCAAAUCGACCGGCUGGGUCUUCUGUCCCCUAAGCGUUGUGGAAACUUUCGCUAAAGGGUGUUCGGGAGGCUACGCCGUAAAACAACCCCAUUUCUAAGGUUGACCUCGGAUCAGGUAGGGAUACCCGCUGAACUUAAGCAUAUCAAUAGCGGAGGA
Molecule: unclassified non-coding RNA, 329 nt
Filed under: soil metagenome
Description: partial contains 5.8S ribosomal RNA, internal transcribed spacer 2, and large subunit ribosomal RNA
Rfam family: 5.8S ribosomal RNA (bases 1-120)
Source: RNAcentral